AGGUGUGAUCCCUGCACCCCAUGGGUGAUCCCUGCAGGAGAUGGGCGAUCCCUGCGGCCGAGGUGUGAUCCCUGCACCCCAUGGGCGAUCCCUGCGGCCGAUGGGCGAUCCCUGCAGGGGAUGGGCGAUCUCUGCGGCCGAUGGGCGAUCCUGACGGCUGAUGGGCGAUCCCUGCAGGGGAUGGGUGAUCCCUGCACCCCAUGGGUGAUCCCUGCAGGUUAUGUGCGAUCCCUGCGGCCGAGGUGCGAUCCCUGCAGGUGAUGUGCGAUCCCUGUGGCCCAUGGGCGAUCCCUGCAGGUGAUGCGCGCAGGGAAAGUCCCCACAGCCACUCCCACCGCGGGGACAUCGGGAGCUGCCUCUUCCCCCAGGCAGAACCUGAUCAAUGCCCGGUUUUCCUUGAUGGCAGCACAGCCCAGCCUCCUUUCGUUCUCUGGGAAUUCCUUGCAGGUAACCCCAGCUCACACACCACACCUCAGCUCUGUGACCGCCCACCAACCCAAAUUCUGCUCCCUCCUCUCUGGGAUCCCACAGCAGAGCACAGCCUCCAUCCCUUCCUCCUUCACCCUGCUCCAAACUGAACCCUGGGAUGAGGAAGCUCUGAACAGAAUGCUUGGGGAAGGGGGCAGGGGGGAGGCUGCCCCGACAGGCACCCAAGCCAGGAGCCCUCUCCCAGCCAGCUCCAGAGCUGCCCCUGCCUCAGCCCUGCUCCCCACCCUGCAGGAGGAGGGCACAGAGUGCAGGACCCCUCUGGCCCACGGGAAUUCCAUCCUCAGAGGAGCCCUGCCCUGCUCCACACACCCCCCUGGAUGGGGUGCCAGGGGUACCCAGGGGUAUCUGCACCCCCAGCACCCCCCAGCCCCAAGGAAAGAGCCCAUUCCAUGGCACAGCUGCUCUGCCAGGCCUGGGCACUGCCAGUGUCCCUUGUGCCCUCCCUGGGCACUGCCAGCAUCCCUGCUCCCAUUCCUGGGCACUGCCAGCAUCCCUGCUCUGUCCCUGGGCACUGCCAGCAUCCCUGCUCCCCUUCCCUGGGCACUGCCAGUGUCCCUGCUCCCUCCCUGGGCACCUGCCACCAUCCCUGCUCCCUCCCUGGGCACUGCCAGUGUCCCUGCUCCCCUUCCUGGGCACUGCCAGUGUCCCUGCUCCCUCCCUGGGCUCCCCCCUCACUGCAGCAGGAGCUGUCUGUCCCAGGGUGCUGCCAGUAGGACAGAUGGCCAUGGAAAUGUCCCCAGGACCCCAGGACAGCUGUCACCUCCCUGUGGCCUCCCCAGACCCCAGCUGGGGUGGGAUGUUCCUCUGGAAGGUACAUCCAUCUCACCUGGUGCAUUAAGGGGCUGCCUGGGCCCAGCCCAGCUCUGCUGGCCCUGGGGUGCCCCCAGAGCAGCCCCAGGUGAGCAGGGCCUCUCUGGGCUCCCAGCAGGGUCUGGGACCAGGAGCUGUGCCAGAGGGGAGAAGCUCUGAAGGGCCUGGAGCUGCCCCUCCUGCCCUGCCCUGCUGAACUCCUCAGCAUCCAUCCAUCCCCUGGGCAAUUCCUCCUGGCACACACAGGGCAGGACCCCUGCCCUGAGCUGCCCCACGGCACGACCCCCAACCCCGGGCACGGCCAGAAAUCCAUCCAGCACAUUCUGUGCCAGAGGGGAUUUGGCUUCUCCUUCCCCCCACCUUCCCCAACCCCACGAGAAAUUGGCAUUUGAAGGGUAGGAGNNNNNNNN
This 1709-nucleotide long non-coding RNA is filed under the name Serinus canaria (Common canary). RNAcentral's name for it is "lncRNA (ENSSCAG00000016688.1)". Lineage: Eukaryota; Metazoa; Chordata; Aves; Passeriformes; Fringillidae. The record is from RNAcentral.